GCUCGCGUAGCCUAAUCGGAUAGGGCGUCAGACUUCUAAUCUGAAGAUUGCGGGUUCAAGUCCCGCCGUGAGUG
Transfer RNA from Neocallimastix californiae, 74 nucleotides. It matches the Rfam family "tRNA". Rfam says of the family: Transfer RNA (tRNA) molecules are approximately 80 nucleotides in length. Their secondary structure includes four short double-helical elements and three loops (D, anti-codon, and T loops). Further hydrogen bonds mediate the characteristic L-shaped molecular structure. tRNAs have two regions of fundamental functional importance: the anti-codon, which is responsible for specific mRNA codon recognition, and the 3' end, to which the tRNAs corresponding amino acid is attached (by aminoacyl-tRNA synthetases). tRNAs cope with the degeneracy of the genetic code in two manners: having more than one tRNA (with a specific anti-codon) for a particular amino acid; and 'wobble' base-pairing, i.e. permitting non-standard base-pairing at the 3rd anti-codon position. The record is from Rfam. NCBI's taxonomy places the organism in Eukaryota, Fungi, Neocallimastigomycota, Neocallimastigomycetes, Neocallimastigales, Neocallimastigaceae.